AGAGUUUGAUCCUGGCUCAGAUUGAACGCUGGCGGCAUGCUUUACACAUGCAAGUCGAACGGCAGCACGGGGGCAACCCUGGUGGCGAGUGGCGAACGGGUGAGUAAUAUAUCGGAACGUACCCGGAAAUGGGGGAUAACGUAGCGAAAGUUACGCUAAUACCGCAUAUGCCCUAAGGGGGAAAGCGGGGGAUUCGCAAGAACCUCGCGUUUUCGGAGCGGCCGAUAUCGGAUUAGCUAGUAGGUGAGGUAAAGGCUCACCUAGGCGACGAUCCGUAGCUGGUCUGAGAGGACGACCAGCCACACUGGAACUGAGACACGGUCCAGACUCCUACGGGAGGCAGCAGUGGGGAAUUUUGGACAAUGGGCGCAAGCCUGAUCCAGCCAUGCCGCGUGAGUGAAGAAGGCCUUCGGGUUGUAAAGCUCUUUCAGCCGGAAAGAAAACGCACGGGUUAAUAACCUGUGUGGAUGACGGUACCGGAAGAAGAAGCACCGGCUAACUACGUGCCAGCAGCCGCGGUAAUACGUAGGGUGCGAGCGUUAAUCGGAAUUACUGGGCGUAAAGCGUGCGCAGGCGGUUUUGUAAGACAGAUGUGAAAUCCCCGGGCUUAACCUGGGAACUGCAUUUGUAACUGCAAGGCUAGAGUACGCAGAGGGGGUAGAACUCCACGUGUAGCAGUGAAAUGCGUAGAUAUGUGGAGGAUCCGAUGGCGAA
Molecule: ribosomal RNA, 714 nt
Filed under: uncultured bacterium
Lineage: Bacteria
Description: bacterial SSU rRNA
Rfam family: Bacterial small subunit ribosomal RNA
Source: RNAcentral